UCUAAAAAAUAGUAAGGGCACAUGGUGAAUGCCUUGGAAAAUGGAGCCGAAGAAGGACGUGAUUACCUGCGAAAAGCAUCGGGGAGCUGGAAGUGAGCUUUGAUCCGGUGAUAUCCGAAUGGGGAAACCCAAUACGAUUAAUCUCGUAUUAUCCAUAAGUGAAUACAUAGCUUAUGAGAAGGGAACCUUGGGAACUGAAACAUCUUAGUACCAAGAGGAAAAGAAAAUAAAUAAUGAUUCUGUUAGUAGCGGCGAGCGAACGCGGAAGAGGCCAAACCAGUCUACGGGCUGGGGUUGUAGGACAUCUUUUUAGAGUUACAAAAUCAACAUAUAGUAGAAGUUACUGGGAAGUAACGGCAUAGAGGGUGAUACCCCCGUAUACGAAAUGUGUUGAUCUCUUAGAUGGAUCCUGAGUACGGCGAAACACGUGAAAUUUUGUCGGAAUCCGCCGAGACCACUCGGCAAGCCUAAAUACUCCCAUUUUACCGAUAGUGAACCAGUACCGUGAGGGAAAGGUGAAAAGUACCCCGAGAGGGGAGUGAAAUAGUUCCUGAAACCAUGUGCUUACAAGAAGAUAGAGCCCGUUAAUGGGUGAUAUCGUGCUUUUUGUAGAAAGAGCCGGCGAGUUAAUGUAUCGUGCGAGGUUAAGCAGAAUAUGCGGAGCCGUAGUGAAAGCGAGCCUUAAUAGGGCGUUUAGUACGUUGCAUUAGACACGAAACCGGGUGAUCUAGCCAUGAGCAGGUUGAAGUUUGGGUAAAACCAAAUGGAGGACCGAACCGACGUUCGUUGAAAUGACCGCGGAUGACUUGUGGCUAGCGGUGAAAUUCCAAUCGAACCCGGAGAUAGCUAGUUCUCCCCGAAAUAUAUUUAAGUAUAGCGUCGAGGUUUACCACAAUGGAGGUAGAGCACUGAAUCUAUGAUGGCCCCACCUAGGGGUACUGAAUAGAAUUAAACUCCGAAUGCCAUUGUCGGAUACUCGGCAGUCAGAACAUGGGUGAUAAGGUCCAUGCUCGAGAGGGAAACAGCCCAGAUCGUCAGCUAAGGUCCCUAAAUUUAGGUUAAGUGUGUAAGGAUGUGGAAUUGCACAGACAGCUAGGAUGUUGGCUUAGAAGCAGCCACCAUUUAAAGAGUGCGUAACAGCUCACUAGUCGAGUGAUUCUGCGCCGAAAAUGUACCGGGGCUAAACCUAAUACCGAAGCUACGGAUUGUAUUUUUUAAUACAGUGAUAGGGGAGCGUUCUAAUUGUGAUGAAGUCAGACUGUGAGGACUGGUGGAACGAUUAGAAGUGAUUAUGCCGGCAUGAGUAACGAUUGAAUGUGAGAAUCAUUCAUACCGUUUGACCAAGGUUUCCUGGGCAAGGUUCGUCCACCCAGGGUUAGUCAGGACCUAAGGCGAGGCCGAAAGGCGUAGUCGAUGGACAACAGGUUGAUAUUCCUGUACCUGCUAGUUAGUGAUGGAGUGACGGAGAAAGGUAGUGUAUCCCAGGUGAUGGAUGUCCUGGGUUAAGCACAAAGGCGGCAACAUAGGCAAAUCCGUGUUGUAUUAAACGCUGAAGUGUUAUGAGGAGUGAACGGUUCGCCUAGUAACGAAGUACAUGACCCUACGCUUCCAAGAAAAGCUUCUAACUUAAUAACUAGUAGCCUGUACCUAUAACGAACACACGUGGUCAAGGAGAAAAUCCUAAGGUAAGCGAGAUAACUGUAGCUAAGGAACUCUGCAAAAUAACUCCGUAACUUCGGAAGAAGGAGUGCUCAACGCAAGUUGAGCCGCAGUGAAGAGGGAGGGGCAACUGUUUAGCAAAAACACAGCUCUCUGCUAAGUCGCAAGACGAAGUAUAGGGGGUGACGCCUGCCCAGUGCCGGAAGGUUAAGAGGAGAAGUCAGCGCAAGCGAAGCUUCGAAUUGAAGCCCCGGUGAACGGCGGCCGUAACUAUAACGGUCCUAAGGUAGCGAAAUUCCUUGUCAGGUAAGUUCUGACCCGCACGAAAGGCGUAAUGAUCCCUUCGCUGUCUCGGCUGCAGACUCGGUGAAAUUUUAGUACCGGUGAAGAUGCCGGUUACCCGCAACUAGACGGAAAGACCCCGUGGAGCUUUACUAUAACUUGAUAUUGAAAUUUGGUAUAACGUGUAGAGGAUAGGUGGGAGACUUUGAAGCUGGACCGCUAGGGCCAGUGGAGUCAACCUUGGAAUACCACCCUCGUUAUAUUGGAUUUCUAACUUCGACCCGUUAUCCGGGUUAAGGACAGUGUCUGGUGGGUAGUUUGACUGGGGCGGUCGCCUCCUAAAAUGUAACGGAGGCGCUCAAAGUUACACUCAGCAUGGUUGGAAAUCAUGCAUAGAGCGCAAAAGUAUAAGUGUGAUUGACUGUGAGACUUACAAGUCGAACAGGUACGAAAGUAGGAUUUAGUGAUCCGGCGGUCCCGUGUGGAAGGGCCGUCGCUCAACGGAUAAAAGUUACCCCGGGGAUAACAGGCUGAUCUCCCCCAAGAGUUCACAUCGACGGGGAGGUUUGGCACCUCGAUGUCGGCUCAUCGCAUCCUGGAGCUGUAGUCGGUUCCAAGGGUUGGGCUGUUCGCCCAUUAAAGCGGUACGCGAGCUGGGUUCAGAACGUCGUGAGACAGUUUGGUCCCUAUCUGUUGUGGGCGUAGGAAAAUUGAAGAGAGCUGUUCCUAGUACGAGAGGACCGGAAUGGACACACCUCUGGUGCUCCUGUUGUCACGCCAGUGGCACAGCAGGGUAGCUAUGUGUGGAACGGAUAAUCGCUGAAGGCAUCUAAGCGAGAAGCCUCCUUUAAGAUGAAUUUUCCCAUUUCUUUAGAAUGUAAGAUCCCUUAUAGACUAUGAGGUUGAUAGGAUGGAUGUGUAAGUGUCGCGAGGCAUUAAGCUAACCAUUACUAAUAGAUCGAGAGAAUUUUAGAAA
This 2917-nucleotide ribosomal RNA is filed under the name Mesoplasma florum. Its description in RNAcentral is "bacterial LSU rRNA". It matches the Rfam family "Bacterial large subunit ribosomal RNA". The record is from RNAcentral. Lineage: Bacteria; Bacillati; Mycoplasmatota; Mollicutes; Entomoplasmatales; Entomoplasmataceae.